AGGUGCCAAUGCUACACUUCCUUAGCUAGGAGCUAGCAAUGCUACGUGGAAUUGCAUGUCGGUAUCUUCUGAGAGGUUGUUCUCUCUCCACUUCUCAUUCAAGUCUGAAGAUGCUUACAGUCACCUGCAGUACUUCUAAAUCAGAGUUUUGAGAUGGAAGAGGUCACAGCUCCAAUGAUCUCAGCCGAAGAAGAUGAGGAAGAAGACCAGCACAAGUGGUAAGAAUCAGAGUCUCUCUCAAAUCAGCUUUUGCUGGUAUCAGGAUUUCUCUGGAGGACUCAACAAAGUCCUCUCCAUGCCUGAGAUUCCUACAAUGAUUGAAAUUCCAUUGUUUCUUCCCCGUGGGUUCUUGCCUCGAGUUCCUGCUCUGCCUUCAUUUCACUAUACCUAGAAGCUGAAAUAAACUAUUUCCUCCACAA
This 419-nucleotide long non-coding RNA is filed under the name Mus musculus (house mouse). Its description in RNAcentral is "predicted gene 12519". Lineage: Eukaryota; Metazoa; Chordata; Mammalia; Rodentia; Muridae. The record is from RNAcentral.